AGGACGAACGCUGGCGGCGUGCUUAACACAUGCAAGUCGAGCGGAAAGGCCACUUCGGUGGUACUCGAGCGGCGGACGGGUGAGUAACACGCGAGUAAUCUGCCCUCCACUUUGGGAUAGCCACCGGAAACGGUGAUUAAUACCGGAUAUGACCUUGGCCCGCAUGGGUUGUGGUGGAAAGUUUUUCGGUGGGGGAUGUGCUCGCGGCCUAUCAGCUUGAUGGUGGGGUAAUGGCCUACCAUGGCUUCGACGGGGAGCCGGCCUGAGAGGGUGACCGGCCACACUGGGACUGAGACACGGCCCAGACUCCUACGGGAGGCAGCAGUGGGAAUAUGGACAAUGGGCGAAGCCUGAUCCAGCAACGCCGCGUGAGGGAUGACGGCCUUCGGGUUGUAAACCUCUUUCAGCACAGACGAAGCGAAAGUGACGGUAUGUGACAGAAGAAGCACCGGCCAACUACGUGCCAGCAGCCGAC
Molecule: ribosomal RNA, 475 nt
Filed under: uncultured soil bacterium
Lineage: Bacteria
Description: bacterial SSU rRNA
Rfam family: Bacterial small subunit ribosomal RNA
Source: RNAcentral